This 77-nucleotide transfer RNA is filed under the name Patescibacteria group bacterium. Its description in RNAcentral is "tRNA-Arg". It matches the Rfam family "tRNA". From Rfam's summary of the family: Transfer RNA (tRNA) molecules are approximately 80 nucleotides in length. Their secondary structure includes four short double-helical elements and three loops (D, anti-codon, and T loops). Further hydrogen bonds mediate the characteristic L-shaped molecular structure. tRNAs have two regions of fundamental functional importance: the anti-codon, which is responsible for specific mRNA codon recognition, and the 3' end, to which the tRNAs corresponding amino acid is attached (by aminoacyl-tRNA synthetases). tRNAs cope with the degeneracy of the genetic code in two manners: having more than one tRNA (with a specific anti-codon) for a particular amino acid; and 'wobble' base-pairing, i.e. permitting non-standard base-pairing at the 3rd anti-codon position. The record is from RNAcentral.
GCGGCGUUAGCUCAGUUGGAUAGAGCGUCUGGCUUCGAACCAGAAGGUCGGGAGUUCGAGUCUCUCACGCUGCACCA